CCCGAGUCCUAUCCCUAGUCUUUUGCACCAUCCGUUGAGGUGAAGACUAUACGGCUGCGUCCGAAACCGCCUACUUCUCUACUAUUUAGUAGCUGAAAAGCAGUAGGCGAGCGAAUAAGUAUGUCCAAAGCAAAAGAGCAGGCGAAAAUUACCUGGGUCGCGAGAUUCGGCCGUGCGCCUACUUAAAGUGCGCCCGACUCCGAAACCGCCUACUUAUAUAAUAGGGGAAAAGCAGUAGGCGAGCGAAUAAGUAUGUCAGAAACCUCAGCAAUCAUAGUUGAGUAGUUGAGAAGUUCCCGGAUGAUCUACUGCUUCCGGCGUGAUUCUGAAGUGCUCCUCGCUGGAUACAUUUCUAUCCCAGGAGGCCACGGGAGAGGAUACGUCAUAAUCGAACACGGAGGAGAAAAGCGACGCGGAUGCUGUCAAAUGUGAGUACUGAAAACUAAAAACACGGUUCCUUUUGUUAAAGUCACAUUUGUUGAACUACUGUAGAGGAAACUACUGAAUGUGUAAAGAUGCUGGACACUAUAGUUGUGAAUUUACUGUAAAAACACGUUUUAUUGUGUAUAGAUAACGGGGAGCUCUAGUAAACACAUAUAACUUAAUUCUCCUCCGAAGGAUACAUCUUAAAGAUGCUUACUAAAUGUUUAUUUAACCUUUGACAGGAAAAUAUUUUUUAAGUAUUAUGAUUUAUGAGUGACGGAUUAUGUUCUAUGUGUGAUGUGUGUGUGUGCUAUUAUGUAAAAUUCACUGUUGUCAACACUGCAUUACAUUAAUGAAAAUAAUGUAAAUAAACAAAUGUACACUUAACUAGACAGACAUAAGUUAUCUAUUUUAUUUGUCUUGGUACUGUUAAUAAAACAAGGAACAUUUGUGUUGGAUAAAAAGUGAGUUAAAACAAAUCUUGAACUACCUCAACGUUUAAAUGUAGUGCUGAGCACAUAAAUCUCAGAGGAUCUUGUCUGAUGUUACAGGGACAGAUGAUCACGUGUGUUUAUCCGGUGAUGAAGGAAUCAUGCCAUCAAAGGCUUUGAAGCUUUUGUGGUGGAGCAGGACCUACAAGGAAAGGUGAUGGUGGCAUUUGUGAACAAAAAAGAAAAGAAAAGGAAAACCUGAAACAAAAAUAUAAAGAUGUGAAAUGUCCUCAGACUGGUGUGAGCACUGAGGACGGAGAGCCACAGCAUAUCCUGGGAAUGGCUCAGUGCCAUGGAUGAGACCCUCCAUCACUCCUCCUGCUCUUACUGCCUCAUCUGGACUGAUGUUGAUGUGAUUUCUUCAUCCUCAGAAUGAUCCCGCUGGAGCAACCUGGAGUAAAGUGUCUUGAUCAAGGACACACUGGUGGAGAUGCUGUGGAGAUCGAACCAGCAACCUUCUGCUUACCAGCUCAGUGGUUUAGCCCCCUACACCACAAAAGUAAUGAAGCUACAACAGAAAUUAUCAUGUAAUUGUGUAAAAAUAUGAAAUGAAAUAUGGCAAGAAACUGAAUGCUGACAUGAAUGAAUUGUAAAAUGUUUUAAUCUGUUUAUUUAAUCAUGCUGAUGGAGAGCACAUGAAUGUUUGCAGCAGCCAGAUUGUCCUGCACAUCUUGUUUCACUUUUGCUUCAAGGUUGUGUGGUUCAGAAGACCAUCAUCAUGGUCUUCCUUAUCCUCUGGAUCAACAUUGUCCCCAUUGAGCAGAGCAGCAGUGAGGGACAUGAUGGAUGAAGGUGUUCAUCAGCUGUUUGAUCAAAAUAAAGCUGCAGAAUUGGCACAGCUGUGUGAGAUGGCAGCAGGACUGUAAAUACGUGAUUGUUAGAUCAAUACAUUUGAAUAAAGCUUUGUGUUGUUGACUUGUAUAUGCAUUUAUUUGUCAUUAUUACUUUUAUUAAUUUAUUAUGCUAUUAUCAGUAAAUUUAUAUAUUUUAUUUUCAUUCAGUAUCAAUUUUAAACUAUCGGUUGAUUAAUUGGUUCAACCUAGUUAUCAUUAUCGGUUGACCUCUAUUAUUGACAGAUUUUUUUUAAGUAAAUAAAAACAGAUAUACACAGAUGUGAUAUACUGUCUAUCUUUU
Molecule: long non-coding RNA, 2048 nt
Organism: Megalobrama amblycephala (Wuchang bream)
Lineage: Eukaryota; Metazoa; Chordata; Actinopteri; Cypriniformes; Xenocyprididae
Exons: 4
Source: RefSeq, a predicted model, not a curated record